UGUUCUGGUUUUAAAUUCACCAAAAUUUUUCAAAUAUUAAUCCCCAAGGGAAAUUAAAUGUUGUUGCAACUCAUUCAUUUAGAUUCUUCAAAGCUUUAUUGAAGAUCGUGAUGGCUGUUGGCA
Long non-coding RNA from Xiphophorus couchianus (Monterrey platyfish), 123 nucleotides. RefSeq lists it as uncharacterized. The record is from RefSeq and is a predicted model, not a curated record. The transcript has 3 exons. Lineage: Eukaryota; Metazoa; Chordata; Actinopteri; Cyprinodontiformes; Poeciliidae.